GAUGAACGCUGGCGGCGUGCCUAAUACAUGCAAGUCGAGCGAACAGACGAGGAGCUUGCUCCUCUGACGUUAGCGGCGGACGGGUGAGUAACACGUGGAUAACCUACCUAUAAGACUGGGAUAACUUCGGGAAACCGGAGCUAAUACCGGAUAAUAUAUUGAACCGCAUGGUUCAAUAGUGAAAGACGGUUUUGCUGUCACUUAUAGAUGGAUCCGCGCCGCAUUAGCUAGUUGGUAAGGUAACGGCCUACCAAGGCGACGAUGCGUAGCUGACCUGAGAGGGUGAUCGGCCACACUGGAACUGAGACACGGUCCAGACUCCUACGGGAGGCAGCAGUAGGGAAUCUUCCGCAAUGGGCGAAAGCCUGACGGAGCAACGCCGCGUGAGUGAUGAAGGUCUUCGGAUCGUAAAACUCUGUUAUUAGGGAAGAACAAAUGUGUAAGUAACUAUGCACGUCUUGACGGUACCUAAUCAGAAAGCCACGGCUAACUACGUG
RNAcentral lists this ribosomal RNA (497 nucleotides) under uncultured bacterium. RNAcentral describes it as "partial 16S ribosomal RNA". It matches the Rfam family "Bacterial small subunit ribosomal RNA", at positions 28 to 507 of the family's 1533-position model. The record is from RNAcentral.